AUCCCUCCAAAAAUGCAACUCACCAGCACAAAGGAAACUGUUUUUCUGAAAAGAGUCAGAGCCACCUUCACUUGGCCUUAUCUAAAUAGACAAAACGGUAAACUAUUUUGUACAGAGACAGCAAAAAAUCAUGGUUUAUUAAAGGACAGUGUUACUCCAGAUAACACUUGGAUGUCGUGGACCAAACGCCAGAAAGUGUUUCCAAAACCUGACGUUAAAUUGCCUGAAACUUUAAAUUGUGCUUUUUUUUUUCAUUAUAAAAAGGGAAACUGUAUUAAUCUUAUUCUAUCAUCUUUUUUUUUCUUUUUGUUGAACAUAUUCACUGUUUGUUUAUUAAUAAAUUACCAUUCAGUUUGAAUGAGAUCUAUAUGUCUGGAUACUUUAAUACAGCUUUAAUUAUUAUAAGAAAAAAAAGAGAUUUCAGAUUAAAACACUAGAAAUGACCUAUUCUCCUCCUAAAUAUCUGAGAAAUGGAGAAACCCUCUGACUAUAACUUGUCAAAUUUCACCUAAAAGUCUCUUUUUUGUUUAGAUUUGUUUUUCCUGCAACGUCUUCUGCAAAAUGUACUCUAUAGUCAGCUUGCUUUGUGGCUAGUCAGAAGAUAUUUUCCUAAACAGGUCUGAGUUGGCAUAUAUACAAAUAUAUAUAUAUAUUUUUUCAGUAAGGACAGAACAUGAUCUGGAAAUUUUAAGCCCAUGAAUCGGCAGUGGUGUUACCACAGUGAUACCUGUGUGUAGAGAUAUGUGAAUGUGCCUCCAGAUAUACACAGAGGAAUAUUUGGCUUCUGUAUCACAUAAAAAAUUGUGAUGUCUGUUCUACAUCCCCGUGAGCCAAAUGCUGGGUAGAUAUUUCUCCUACUAAUUUCACUCCUUUGUAAGAGAAAAAAUAAAGCAGUUCUUUUUUUUUAAAAAAAAUGUAUGUAUAUAACUCAUCCACAUUUACAAUCCUUCGUGUGUUACAUAGAAGGGUUGGUUUAAAAAAAAAAUAUAUAUAUAUAUACUGUGGGUUGGAAAGGGAUAUUUAAUCUUUGGGAAACUAUUUUAGAAGAUAUGUUUGUAGAACAAUUAUUAUUAUUAUUUUUUCUUUUGGAAAAGAUUUAAAGCAAUAAGGAGAGAAGAGCAGAACAUUUUAGUCUAGGGUGGUUUCUUUUCGAUCCAUUUUUUUUUCUUGUUAAUUUACAGUUAAACGUAGGGGGCGAUCCAGAUUGGCCCUCCCCCUUUGUAAAUAACCCAGGAAAUGUAAUAAAUUCAUUAUCUUAGGGCGAUCUGCCCUGUCAAUCAGACUUUGGAGAGAUGGCGAUUUGAUUACAGCCGAUCAGGGCCUUACAGUUUGUUUUCGAGAUAAUACAGUUUCCUGCUAUCUGCCGCUCCUAUCUAGAGGCAACACUUAGCAGUAAUUGCUAUUGCUUGUUGUCAAAAUCUGAUCAUUGUUAAAGGAUUGCUGCAAAUAAAUACACUCUAAUUUCAGUCAAACCCUGCUCUCCGUGGCCUCUGAUUUGCUCGGGAAGGUCGCAGCGGCCAGGGCGCCCCAGGGCGCGGCGGUCCCCGGGCAGGGAGGCCGGCAGGGACUCGCCCGACUGCUCGCUCGGGCUCCGCCGGCUGUCGCGGCCCGCGGCCCGGGGCGGCCUCGGUGACCCCCGCGGGGUGGGCGCACCCCGGGGCCCUGGCUUGCCUAGGCCCGGCCGGGAAGGGCCGCAGGUGGACCCGCCCCAGGCCGCGCGGCUCCGGCAGCCCCGGCCCCGGCCUCCCCGCGCCGGCCCGCUGCGCGGUCGGGACCGGGGCUUGGCGAGUGUAGACGCGCGGCCCACCCGGCUCUGCAGCCGGCGCCGGCCUCGGGACGCGGC
This 1843-nucleotide long non-coding RNA is filed under the name Canis lupus familiaris (dog). RNAcentral describes it as "lncRNA (ENSCAFG00040017840.1)". The record is from RNAcentral. Lineage: Eukaryota; Metazoa; Chordata; Mammalia; Carnivora; Canidae.